GGACUACUGGGGUAUCUAAUCCCGUUCGCUCCCCUAGCUUUCGCACCUGAGCGUCAGGAACUUCCCAGAAGAGUGCCUUCGCCUUUGGUAUUCCUCCGGAUCUCUACGCAUUUCACCACUCCACCCGGAAUUCUCUCUUCCUCUGAAGCCCUCAAGUCUGUCCGUUUGGUCACGCCUUUUGUAGUUGAGCCACAAACUGUCAGUGGCCACGCGACAGACCGCCUGCGUGCGCUUUACGCCCAGUAACUCCGGACAACGCUUGCCUCCUACGUAUUACCGCGGCUGCUGGCAC
RNAcentral lists this ribosomal RNA (292 nucleotides) under uncultured bacterium. RNAcentral describes it as "partial 16S ribosomal RNA". The record is from RNAcentral.